RNAcentral lists this transfer RNA (72 nucleotides) under Canis lupus familiaris (dog). It matches the Rfam family "tRNA". Rfam says of the family: Transfer RNA (tRNA) molecules are approximately 80 nucleotides in length. Their secondary structure includes four short double-helical elements and three loops (D, anti-codon, and T loops). Further hydrogen bonds mediate the characteristic L-shaped molecular structure. tRNAs have two regions of fundamental functional importance: the anti-codon, which is responsible for specific mRNA codon recognition, and the 3' end, to which the tRNAs corresponding amino acid is attached (by aminoacyl-tRNA synthetases). tRNAs cope with the degeneracy of the genetic code in two manners: having more than one tRNA (with a specific anti-codon) for a particular amino acid; and 'wobble' base-pairing, i.e. permitting non-standard base-pairing at the 3rd anti-codon position. Lineage: Eukaryota; Metazoa; Chordata; Mammalia; Carnivora; Canidae. The record is from Rfam by way of RNAcentral.
AGCCCUAUGGUGUAAUGGUCAGCACUUUGGACUCUGAACCCAGUGAUCUAAGUUCAGAUUUCUGUAGGGCCU